This is a non-coding RNA of Gossypium raimondii (Peruvian cotton), 121 nucleotides long. The record is from Rfam. NCBI's taxonomy places the organism in Eukaryota, Viridiplantae, Streptophyta, Magnoliopsida, Malvales, Malvaceae.
AAAAGGAGAAUGACAAAUCAGAUUUUUUUUUUAUUUUCAGCUUUUUUCUCCUGAAAAUAUUCAAAUCCAACUAAAAAAGCUAAAAAUAAGAAGGAAAAAUCUUAUUUAUCAUUAUUCUUUU